RNAcentral lists this ribosomal RNA (164 nucleotides) under Corynephorus canescens. RNAcentral describes it as "5.8S ribosomal RNA". It matches the Rfam family "5.8S ribosomal RNA". Rfam says of the family: 5.8S ribosomal RNA (5.8S rRNA) is a component of the large subunit of the eukaryotic ribosome. It is transcribed by RNA polymerase I as part of the 45S precursor that also contains 18S and 28S rRNA. The record is from RNAcentral. Lineage: Eukaryota; Viridiplantae; Streptophyta; Magnoliopsida; Poales; Poaceae.
CACACGACUCUCGGCAACGGAUAUCUCGGCUCUCGCAUCGAUGAAGAACGUAGCGAAAUGCGAUACCUGGUGUGAAUUGCAGAAUCCCGCGAACCAUCGAGUCUUUGAACGCAAGUUGCGCCCGAGGCCUUUCGGCCGAGGGCACGCCUGCCUGGGCGUCACGC